Molecule: ribosomal RNA, 465 nt
Filed under: uncultured Klebsiella sp.
Lineage: Bacteria; Pseudomonadati; Pseudomonadota; Gammaproteobacteria; Enterobacterales; Enterobacteriaceae
Description: bacterial SSU rRNA
Rfam family: Bacterial small subunit ribosomal RNA
Source: RNAcentral
CCUACGGGGGGCAGCAGUGGGGAAUAUUGCACAAUGGGCGCAAGCCUGAUGCAGCCAUGCCGCGUGUGGGAAGAAGGCCUUCGGGUUGUAAAGCACUUUCAGCGGGGAGGAAGGCGGUGAGGUUAAUAACCUCAUCGAUUGACGUUACCCGCAGAAGAAGCACCGGCUAACUCCGUGCCAGCAGCCGCGGUAAUACGGAGGGUGCAAGCGUUAAUCGGAAUUACUGGGCGUAAAGCGCACGCAGGCGGUCUGUCAAGUCGGAUGUGAAAUCCCCGGGCUCAACCUGGGAACUGCAUUCGAAACUGGCAGGCUAGAGUCUUGUAGAGGGGGGUAGAAUUCCAGGUGUAGCGGUGAAAUGCGUAGAGAUCUGGAGGAAUACCGGUGGCGAAGGCGGCCCCCUGGACAAAGACUGACGCUCAGGUGCGAAAGCGUGGGGAGCAAACAGGAUUAGAUACCCCAGUAGUC